RNAcentral lists this ribosomal RNA (253 nucleotides) under uncultured bacterium. RNAcentral describes it as "partial 16S ribosomal RNA". It matches the Rfam family "Bacterial small subunit ribosomal RNA", at positions 524 to 776 of the family's 1533-position model. The record is from RNAcentral.
UACAGAGGGGGCAAGCGUUAUUCGGAAUUAUUGGGCGUAAAGGGCGCGUAGGCGGCCUGGCAAGUGGAAGGUGAAAUCCCUCGGCUUAACCGAGGAACUGCCUCCCAAACUGCUUGGCUUGAGACCAGGAGAGGUGAGUGGAAUUCCCAGUGUAGCGGUGAAAUGCGUAGAUAUUGGGAGGAACACCAGUGGCGAAGGCGGCUCACUGGACUGGUACUGACGCUGAGGCGCGAAAGCCAGGGGAGCAAACGGG